This 253-nucleotide ribosomal RNA is filed under the name uncultured bacterium. RNAcentral describes it as "partial 16S ribosomal RNA". It matches the Rfam family "Bacterial small subunit ribosomal RNA", at positions 524 to 776 of the family's 1533-position model. The record is from RNAcentral.
UACGUAGGGUGCAAGCGUUAUCCGGAUUUAUUGGGCGUAAAGAGUGCGUAGGCGGUUUUGCAAGUCAACAUUUAAAUCGUGGGGCUCAACCCCAUAGCUGGUGUUGAUACUGUGAGACUAGGUUGUUUGAGGGGGUAUCGGAACAGUUAGUGGAGCAGUGAAAUGCGUUGAGAUUAACUGGAACACCAAAGGCGAAGGCAGAUACCUGGCAAACCAACGACGCUGUUGCACGAAAGCGUGGGGAGCAAAACGG